CGGAUGCGAUCAUACCAGCACUAAAGCACCGGAUCCCAUCAGAACUCCGAAGUUAAGCGUGCUUGGGCGAGAGUAGUACUAGGAUGGGUGACCUCCUGGGAAGUCCUUGUGUUGCAUCCCUC
Molecule: ribosomal RNA, 122 nt
Filed under: Oryza sativa Indica Group (long-grained rice)
Lineage: Eukaryota; Viridiplantae; Streptophyta; Magnoliopsida; Poales; Poaceae
Source: RNAcentral